CCUGCCAAGAAGACCGGCUAACUACGUGCCAGCAGCCGCGGAAUACGUAGGUGCGAGCGUAGUCGGAAUUACUGGGCGUAAAGGUGCGCAGGCGGCCUGUAGACCGAGUGAAUCCCCGGGCUCACCUGGAUUGCGCUGUGACUGCAGGGAUAGAGUACGGAAAGGGGAUGGAAUUCCUGGUGUACAGUGAAAUGCGUAAAGAUCGGGAGGAACACCGAUGGCGAAGGCGCCCCCUGGGCCUGUACUGACGCUCAUGCACGAAAGCGGGGGGAACAAACAGGAUUAAAUC
This 289-nucleotide ribosomal RNA is filed under the name uncultured bacterium. RNAcentral's name for it is "partial 16S ribosomal RNA". It matches the Rfam family "Bacterial small subunit ribosomal RNA", at positions 479 to 784 of the family's 1533-position model. The record is from RNAcentral.